ACUGACUGCUCUGGUCUCAGUUGUGAACUCCAUGGGUCACAGAGACUGGGAGCCACCUCUCCCUCUAAAAACCCUGUGUAUUUUUGAAAUGCCCUUUCCUGACUGCCCAGCUUAGUGAGCACACCUAACAGCUCUCCCUUGUUGUGUGCAACCACCCAAUCGACCACCUUGAUUUUCAACACGUCUUGGAGCACUGGAGAAGUUCCAGAAGACUGUAUGAAAGCUAAUGUUAUGCAGUUUUUUAAAAGAAUCUGAGAGACAGACCUCUGCUGUGAACAGGAAGAGAAUGGGGCAUGUGUGAUGGGGGAGAGGCCAGCUAUGCUGUGAGUUGGGAUCUGUUUGAAACUCUGCUGCAGUCUACUCUGUCCUGGCAGCUGAGCACAGCUGUUGCCAAUGCAGCCUUAAGCAGUCCCCCCGUCCAUGCACACGGAAUGCUGGACCAAGAUAAGGAGGAGAGAAAAGAGGAUUUGGGAUGACUUCAGGGAGAUCCUUCAAGCCAGUGCUGCAUCAGACAGAGAGCCUGGAGGAUGAAUAUUGCAGACGGUAUGGAGAGGGAAAGAGUGGACAGGAGAAAGACCCCAGAAUCGGAGAGGGAGAUGCACUAGGACAUAAUGGGACUUCUCCAGCAGCAAACACAGAUGCUGCACUCUCCUUUUGACCUAGAGGUUCAACAAUCAUGGGCUCGUCUCCCUUUGCAGUCAAUAAAGAACUCCAUUUUAGCACCUCAUUGUACCCCCUCCACCCCAACAUUUCACGUGGCAUCAGGAGCCACAUCCCUACCCCUAACACUUCACACUGGGGGGCAGUUAGCACAGCCACAGCUUCAUAUAGAUUGAUCUGUGAGAGCCAGGGCUGGUGUAUG
Mauremys mutica (yellowpond turtle) is the source of this 862-nucleotide long non-coding RNA. RefSeq lists it as uncharacterized. NCBI's taxonomy places the organism in Eukaryota, Metazoa, Chordata, Testudines, Geoemydidae. The record is from RefSeq and is a predicted model, not a curated record. The transcript is spliced from 3 exons.